This is a non-coding RNA of Nelumbo nucifera (sacred lotus), 6110 nucleotides long. NCBI's taxonomy places the organism in Eukaryota, Viridiplantae, Streptophyta, Magnoliopsida, Proteales, Nelumbonaceae. The record is from RefSeq and is a predicted model, not a curated record.
CCGACUUACCCUUUCCCUCUUUCUUGUUCUCACUUCUCACUCUCAGAGAGUUGAAGCAGCAACCACUAGCACCAAGUCACUAACGAACCAGUAAUCUCAGCGAGGCAGCGAAGAACAUAGGCUAGCAGCGGCAGGCGGCAGCCAUUGUUUCCUUUUCCGGCGAACUUAGGUAGCAGCGAGCCGUGGUCGUUCCUCUCAUCAGUCAUCUCUCAUCUAUCUCCGGCGAGGUGGUGGUCUCAUUUCAGAUUCCUAGAUAGUAGCGACCGCCGAUCGCGAUCUCAUCUCAAAUUCUCAAAUAGUAGCGACUGUCCAUUCAGCUUUGAUGAACUCUGUUUCUUUUGUUUAUUUUGACUAUCAUUCUAACUCUGUUUUUUCAAUAGCCUAAAGAACUAAGGCUAACACAAUAUAUUUUUUCCAUCUCAUGUGUUCUUUCAAAUAUAGAAAAUCAAAGAACUUAUCUCCAAUGCUAGCAAUUUUUGGGUAGUUGAAUUUUAGUGUCUUCAAUGUUGCAUCCAAUCCACUGCUAACAAUUUCCCAAAUUAUUCACAAAUAGUCUAGCUGGUAAAAUAUAUAGGAAUUUAGUUUUAUUAUAUAUUUAUUCAUAUGCUUGGAUAUAUUAAUAUUUACAUAUGCAAAUAAACUUUUUUUCUUACUGAAUUUUUGUUGUAUGUCAUUGCCAUCAAUGUUCCCGGUCAGCAUCUAAAAUUUAAUUUCAAAAGUUCGAUGACCUUAUUAAUGGUUUUGCUUGGAGCUUAUAGAGGUGCAAAGUGUUUCUUUGGUGUGUGGUGGUGAUUUUUUUAAAGUUUGUUGUUGUAGUCAUAUUUUGAAUCAUAUUGUGCAAGUUGUUUGAAACUUGUUGAUGAUGUUGUUGUUAAGAUUCAUUGUGGUGUGAAAAAUAUAAAGAAAUUGGCUACUUGAAAGCAUUGGUUUUAUGAACUUGUUGAAAAAAGUUUUCAUUUGAACUCAACGAGAAGGUUGAGGUUAGACAUGUGUGCGAGAUGGAACUCAACUUAUUUGAUGCUUGAACAUGCCAUCUAUUAUAAUCAAGUCUUACAACAUUGGGGGUAAAGGGAUAAUGCUUUCAAAAUGUUUAUGCUUUCGGAAGAAGAAUGGGGAAAGGUGGAUAAGCUUCACAAAUUCUUAAAGGUUUUUUAUGAUGUUACUUGCAUGCUUUCUACUACCAAGUACCAUACUUUAAACAUUUACUUCAAGGGAGUGUGGAUGAUUCAUAAGCAUUUAAUUGCAAUGAGUAAUGAAUCUCAUAAUUUUAUGAUUGAUAUGGUUAGAGAUAUGAAAGAGAAAUUUGAUAAAUAUUGGGCUGAAUAUAGUAUGAUUUUGUCUUGUGCUUCUGUGUUGAAUCCUCGUUGCAAGGUAAGGUUAGUGGAGUAUUGUUUUAAUAAACUUUAUGGUGAUGAUGCUGGGGAGUGUGUUCAUGCUAUAAUUAAAACACUUCAUGAUUUAUUUGGUGAAUGUAAAGAAUAUUUUUCCUCAAUCUCCUUUGUUGGAUCUUCUAGUCAAAAGUUGACAUGAGUGAGAGAAAUGAUGAUGGUGAUGGAUUUGAGAAUUAUGAACAAUUUUUGAGUUCAAAAAGAAAAUCUCAAAAUGAAAAAACUCAGUUGGACUUUUACUUGGAGGAACAAAACCUUGAUAUCAAGGUAGACGUUGAUGUUUUGGAGUAUUGGAGUAAGAGUUCACUUAGGUAUCCUGAAUCGGCAUCAAUGGCUUAAGAUAUUUUAGCUAUUCCCAUUUCCACAGUUGCAUCUGAGUCAACAUUUAGUAUUGGAAAGAAGGUAAUCAAUCCUUGGAUAAGUUCAUUUAAACCUAAGACAAUUCAAGCUUUAGUUUGUUUUGAAGAUCGGCUUCGUGCACAAGGCUUUGUAUAAGGAGGAGCUCCACCAUACGAUAUCCAAUUAAUGAUGCUAGCGUCACUGGAUGAAACCCAAUAAAGGUUUCAAGGUUACACUGAGCUGCAAGCAGAGAACUCGAGAUUACUGGCGACAUCUCUUCUCCUCAUCCAGUAUCCAAUGUCAAAUGUCAAGCAACUCUCGAUCCAAGCAUUACAUCCUCGACCUGCACUUGAUCCUGUGAAGGUCAUUGAUUACAGUUCCUCUACUGCCUCCAUCAUUGGUAGUGUACAGUGUUGCUGCCUCUUCCAUGGCUACUCUGAAACAGCCAACAAAUAGAGUUGUAGCCAUCAUAGCUGAAUAUGUUCCAGAAUCUGAUAUAAAGCAGCUGAUUGCUUAUGCACGGGCAAAUAAUAAGAUAUCUGUGGAAAUAAUGAUAGAUCUUAGCGAAAGCGCAGAUAUCUGUGUCAAUUGUCUACACCUUCUUCAAUGGAUCUAGGAAAAAUUAUUGAUUCAUCUCAAGUAAGAAGAAUGAUUUGUGCAAUCUUCUGGGUUGAUAUUUUGUACACAUGCUAGUUUUGUCUAUCUUAAUUCUGGGGAAAAAUUACCCAAUUUUGCUUUUGACAGAAGGGUGGUGAACAUUCAUAUUUGGAGUUACUGGCUUAAAACCUCUAUGGAUAUGCCUGGGGAGAAGAUUUUAAUAUGUUCAUGUCUGAAUUUAGAUUGUUUUGUACGUCUGUCUCGGUGUUAAUAUAGGAAUGGAUCUCAUAUUUUUAAGACAGCCUAUCUUAUAAAAAAUGACUGGAAUCUCCUUGGUUGUUUGUCACACUACUAUUUUCAUGCCUGCAUAUCUGAGUUUGAACUUUGAAAUAUUAUCAGAUUUAAGUCUGUUCUCACAAUGUCAAUCAGGUCUUUUAUUGUAUUCUGUCUAUGAAGCUCUGAAUUAUGUUUACAUGGUCCAUGUUUCUUUGCACAGAUCUUAGAACAGUUAAAGGUAUUUGCUGAAGAUGAUAUUAGAUGCAACCUACCCUCGGAGGCAUUAAUGAUGUAACGUUAAGUUCAUUGAAUCUAAGCUGGAUAUCAUCAUUCUAUGACUAUUCUUUCCUUUUUUUUUCAAUGAUUUUGUCAACACUAUGUAUGAGACUACAAAGUCUAAGUAUCUUGUAAGAUCAAGGAAUUACUCUAUCUGCCUACCUCUUAGGAUGUUUUCUAUUGAAACGUGUUAUUAGAAGAGAAGCAUAUCCAUGAAGGUGAUGAUUGUGCCUUUAAUUCAGUGAACUCUCCAAUAAUUGUGGCCAAAUAAAGGGAUUUGUUAAGGUUCUAAUCUUCUCUGAAAACCCAAGGAUGUUAAUGUUUGGGAAACACAAGGCUUUCCCAGCCUAUAUAUUGAGAUUCUAAUGUAAGAAUUAAUAAAGAUAUAUAUGAAAAUAAGUCAGUUAGUCAAACACACUGAAUGCAAAACAACGGGCAAGCAAGAGGCAAUCUAAUUUUUACAUGGAAUACAUUUCAACACAAAAAGCACCCAAGGAUAUUGGCCAAACUAUCUACUAUGUGAAAAUAUGUCAUAAUUGUCUGUAAUCUCAACUAGAGGCUACAAUAUUGAUUUGUAUUAUGAGACAAAAUUUACUUUGUUACACUUUUGAACUCUCGCUUGUAUAAAAUAUUAGUAGUUGUUCUUUUGAAUAGUUUAUGAUUAAAUGAUUCUCCCUUCAUGGAAAGUUUGUAUCAUGAUAUGUUUUCUCAAGUGCCAAUCAAGAAGCUCUACAUGCUAAUCGAAAUGGCUGCCCAGGGAGCAAAAGAUGGAAUUGUAGAGGCUAUUUACUCUGGUAAAGAGAAGAUCGACAUCGCUCAUUUCUUUGAUUGCCAUGGAGAUGUCAUUCCUGUAUAAUUUGUACAUGUGCCACACUGUACAGCUCCUAAAGAGAUAUGGACAAAGAGAUGAGCAAUCAUGAUGUGCUUGCCUUUGCAAGGGACCAGAUGCAAUCAUCUAUACUGGAAGUUAUGGUCAAGGACAAGGAUCUUGUGUCAAAGAUGAUUUUGUUGGAAUUGCCAGCUUCGACCUCAAUGAAGUACCUACUAGAGUUUCCCCAGAUAGUCCUAUUGUCAGGUUUUACCUCAAUGAUUUUGUUGGAAUUGCCAGCUUUGACCUCAAUGAAGUACCUACUAGAGUUUCCCCAGAUAGUCCUAUUGUCAGGUUUUACCUCAAUGAUGUUGUUGUUGUUGUUGUUGUUGUUGUUGUUGUUGUUAUUAUUAUUAUUAUUAUACUUGUUAUGGGUUCUGAAAUUUUUCUUUAAUUCAUGAACUCUAAUUAGAGAUGAGGUUAGAUUAUCCCUAAACAAAGCUGAAAAGGAGGUCUUGGGUCAAUGCUGCCAAGUCUCACCAAGGAUGCCACUACAAUUGUUGGUGAUGGAAGUAUACAGAAAGAAGUAAAUAAGUGAGUUGUUCAUAUCCAUAACCUCAUUGAGGUGAGUUUCUAGAAUUUUAGUCUUCUUUUUUGGAAUUUGCUGCUUGUAGUUGUCCAACAUCUUUUACAUUGUAAUGGUCAAUACAAAUUGCAGAAAAAGAUUAUGAGAAAGAGAAACUCCAUGAAAAAAUUGCAAAACUCUCUGGUGGUGUUGCUGUCAUUUAAGUAGAUUUCUCAAACAUGAAUGGGGCUUUCUGUUGGUCAUGUGGAAAUUUAAAUAUUUGUGUUUAUUAAUGUUUGUGAUGAACAUGGAUAGGUUGGGACCAUGCUAUUUAAGUGUUAAUGUUUGUAGAGUCAGCAUAACCAAAUUGAGUUCAUUAUCUAAUCCAUCUAUCCUUGGACUUCUUGUUUUCUAUAUAGUUUGAAUUCCAAGUGCAGUUGAUUUCUCUCUUCUGGCCUCUGUUACUUAACAUUAUGUCGUUUCUGUUGUGUUUAAUCAGGUUAUGGUUAUUGUGCUGGGGCAUGAUGAAUUACAGAAGGCUGAAUAUAAUCCACAACUGCAAUGGGUGAGAGAGAGAGUACGUAGGAGAAAUUCCAGCAGUGUAGAUUGCUGGAGUUCAGCAUGUAUUGACUGCAGCAAGCUGCAAUGACAUUAUUAUUUUUGAGUAUUAUGAGAGAAAUUAUGUUCAUUGUCUUCCCUUUGCAUUUAAUAUUUUAUUUGCAUCCUUUAUAUGGCUUCUGUGAUUAGUUCCUCAAGUUCCAAUUUUUGCAAUGCAGGGUGUCUGUUUUAUUGAUCCCACGUUUUCGCAUUGACUGGCUUCCUUUUUUCUCCUUAUCUUUGCUUUUUCUCAUAAUUUUCUUCUCUGUUUCAGCUCAAUUCACCUCUUUUCCGUUGCCGAUGACUAUAGUGGGCUGGCCAGGCGGGCUUACUUCUUUGGGUGCGAAUCCGAUUACCUCGUUAUAUUUCCCUGGAUGUUUUGGUUAUUUAUCAUUGUAACCGUAACAAUAAAUAUUUCAUAGCUAAGAAAUUACCCCCAUCUUAUUCAUCAAAAAAAAAAAAAUACCCCCAUCUUCAUAAGCAGAUACAUGCCACCACUUCAAGCUAUUGUGUCCAUGGAUGGGAGUUCUGGAUCUUCUACGCCUGGCCAGGUACCACAUUUGUUUCUUUCUCAAAACCGGCCAAAGAGGUGCGCAACUCAUUACCACAUUGCUUGGAGCAUCUACUGUCAUCAGUAGUUUACAAGGAUGAAUCCUUUCUAGCAUGUAGUUGCUGGUUCUGCAUCUUUUUAUGGGGCCAAGCCAUACAAUCUCAAUGUUGUGCCCCCGACAGAAACUACUAUUCUUGGAAACCCAUUGCAGGGAAACUUACCAAGUAGGAAUUUGAACUCGGUUUCAGACAAGGGCCAAGUUGCUAGCACAUUUUCUGGUCAUACUACAAAGGAUAAGAACUCUGCAGCGGCUGCACCCAACUUUGUGGAUGCCCAGAGAAAGCAGCAUGUGCUCCAGCAAGCUCCGCAGUCUGCUUCUUCUGGAAAUCUGCUGCUUGUUUAUUCUAAGCUCAGUUGUCAUCCCAAUGCUACAAUGGAUUUCGCCUGAUGAAUGCCAAAACUUUGGUUCAAAUGAUCUUUGCCCCCUUGGUGGGAUUGUAGAACUAUAUUCCUUUUUACGUAGUGGACUUAUCCAACUAUUCUAUGUAAGUAUGCAUUAUUUUUCAAAAAGCUACUUGAGUCAUUUUAUGAUUUAUCUCGUAUUUCUUUUCAUUAUACAUGGUAUGUGCACAUGGCAAUGUGUGUUUGUAGGGCCUAUUGGUUACAAUCAGAACUUGUUUCAGAAUUGCAUUUCAACUAAUCAGUCUACAGUUU